UACGGCCGGAUCACGUUGGAACACCAAUUCCCGUACUUUCACCAAAGUUAAGCAAUGUCGAGCCUGGUCAGUACCUUAAUGAGUGACCACUUGGGAAUAUCAGAUGCU
Non-coding RNA from Acanthosepion pharaonis, 108 nucleotides. The record is from the annotation of a GenBank genome assembly. NCBI's taxonomy places the organism in Eukaryota, Metazoa, Mollusca, Cephalopoda, Sepiida, Sepiidae.